RNAcentral lists this ribosomal RNA (460 nucleotides) under uncultured bacterium. RNAcentral's name for it is "partial 16S ribosomal RNA". It matches the Rfam family "Bacterial small subunit ribosomal RNA", at positions 338 to 795 of the family's 1533-position model. The record is from RNAcentral.
CCUACGGGUGGCAGCAGUGAGGAAUAUUGGUCAAUGGGCGCGAGCCUGAACCAGCCAAGUAGCGUGAAUGAUGACUGCCCUACGGGUUGUAAACUUCUUUUAUAAAGGAAUAAAGUGAGGCACGUGUGCCUUUUUGUAUGUACUUUAUGAAUAAGGAUCGGCUAACUCCGUUCCAGCAGCCGCGGUAAUCCGGAGGAUCCGAGCGUUAUCCUGAUUUCUUGGGUUUAAAGGGAGCGUAGAUGGGUUGGUAAGGCAGUUGUGAAAGUUUGCGGCUCAACCGUAAAAUUGCAAUUGAUACUGGCAGUCUUGAGUACAGUUGAGGUAGGCGGAAUGCGGGGUGUAGCGGUGAAAUGCUUAGAUAUCACGAAGAACUCCGAUUGCGAAGGCAGCUUACUAAACUGCCACUGACAUUGAUGCUCGAAAGUGUGGGUAUCAAACAGGAUUAGAUACCCCAGUAGUC